GACGAACGCUGGCGGCGUGCUUAACACAUGCAAGUCGAACGGAAAGGCCCUGCUUUUGUGGGGUGCUCGAGUGGCGAACGGGUGCGUAACACGUGAGUAACCUGCCCUUGACUUUGGGAUAACUUCAGGAAACUGGGGCUACUACCGGAUAGGAGCUCCUGCUGCAUGGUGGGGGUUGGAACGUUGCGGCGGUUGGGGAUGGACUCGCGGGUUAUCGGCUUGUUGGUUGGGUAGUUGCUUACCCAGGGUUUGACGGAUAGCCGGCAGGUGAGGGUGACCGGCGUCAUUGGUACUGAGAUACGGCGCAGACGCCAACGGGAGACAGCAGGGGGGAAUAUUGCACAAUGGGAGGAAGCCUGAUGCAGCAACGUCGCGUGCGGGAUGACGGUUUUCGGGUUGUAAACCGCUUUCGCCUGUGACGAAGCGUGAGUGACGGUAAUGGGUAAAGAAGCACCGGCUAACUACGUG
RNAcentral lists this ribosomal RNA (468 nucleotides) under uncultured bacterium. Its description in RNAcentral is "partial 16S ribosomal RNA". It matches the Rfam family "Bacterial small subunit ribosomal RNA", at positions 28 to 507 of the family's 1533-position model. The record is from RNAcentral.